GCGCUCCUACGGGGCGCAGCAGUGGGGAAUAUUGCACAAUGGGGGAAACCCUGAUGCAGCGACGCCGCGUGAGCGAAGAAGCAUUUCGGUAUGUAAAGCUCUAUCAGCAGGGAAGAAAAUGACGGUACCUGACUAAGAAGCCCCGGCUAAAUACGUGCCAGCAGCCGCGGCAAUACGUAGGGGGCAAGCGUUAUCCGGAUUUACUGGGUGUAAAGGGAGCGUAGGUGGCAGGGCAAGUCAGAUGUGAAAACCCGGGGCUCAACUCCGGGAGUGCAUUUGAAACUGUCUAGCUAGA
RNAcentral lists this ribosomal RNA (295 nucleotides) under uncultured bacterium. RNAcentral's name for it is "partial 16S ribosomal RNA". It matches the Rfam family "Bacterial small subunit ribosomal RNA", at positions 333 to 645 of the family's 1533-position model. The record is from RNAcentral.